GAUGAACGCUGGCGGCGUGCCUAAUACAUGCAAGUCGAGCGAACGGACGAGAAGCUUGCUUCUCUGAUGUUAGCGGCGGACGGGUGAGUAACACGUGGAUAACCUACUUAUAAGACUGGGAUAACUUCGGGAAACCGGAGCUAAUACCGGAUAAUAUUUUGAACCGCAUGGUUCAAAAGUGAAAGACGGUCUUGCUGUCACUUAUAGAUGGAUCCGCGCUGCAUUAGCUAGUUGGUAAGGUAACGGCUUACCAAGGCAACGAUGCAUAGCCGACCUGAGAGUGUGAUCGGCCACACUGGAACUGAGACACGGUCCAGACUCCUACGGGAGGCAGCAGUAGGGAAUCUUCCGCAAUGGGCGAAAGCCUGACGGAGCAACGCCGCGUGAGUGAUGAAGGUCUUCGGAUCGUAAAACUCUGUUAUUAGGGAAGAACAUAUGUGUAAGUAACUGUGCACAUCUUGACGGUACCUAAUCAGAAAGCCACGGCUAACUACGUG
Molecule: ribosomal RNA, 497 nt
Filed under: uncultured bacterium
Lineage: Bacteria
Description: partial 16S ribosomal RNA
Rfam family: Bacterial small subunit ribosomal RNA
Source: RNAcentral